UCAGACGGCCGGACGGUCGCUGGGCGCCUUGGGGCGCCUGGAGGAAAGUCCGGGCUCCACGGGAAUACGGUGCCGGGUAACACCCGGCGGGGGCGACCCCAGGGAAAGUGCCACAGAGAACAGACCGCCGGCGUCCGCGCCGGUAAGGGUGAAACGGGGCGGUAAGAGCGCACCGCGGUCCUGGCGACAGGGCCGGCACGGCAAACCCCACCGGGAGCAAGACCGAAUAGGGGCGAUCGCUCGGGGCCGAAAGGCUGCCGAGAGGCGCAUUUCCGCGCUGUCGCCCGGGUUGGUCGCGCGAGGCGUCCGGUAACGGACGUCCCAGAUGAAUGACCGUCCCUCGCCCGAAAGGCGGGGACAGAACCCGGCUUACAGGCCGUCUGACCCA
RNAcentral lists this RNase P RNA (388 nucleotides) under Rhodospirillaceae bacterium. RNAcentral's name for it is "RNase P RNA component class A". It matches the Rfam family "Bacterial RNase P class A". From Rfam's summary of the family: Ribonuclease P (RNase P) is a ubiquitous endoribonuclease, found in archaea, bacteria and eukarya as well as chloroplasts and mitochondria. Its best characterised activity is the generation of mature 5'-ends of tRNAs by cleaving the 5'-leader elements of precursor-tRNAs. The record is from RNAcentral. Lineage: Bacteria; Pseudomonadati; Pseudomonadota; Alphaproteobacteria; Rhodospirillales; Rhodospirillaceae.